UUAACUCGAAUUUGUAAGGAGUCAGCACGUUUGCCUAUGUUUGCCGCUAGGGGCGCUGUUACAACUCCAUACAAAUUUUAGUUA
Molecule: microRNA precursor, 84 nt
Filed under: Bombyx mori (domestic silkworm)
Lineage: Eukaryota; Metazoa; Arthropoda; Insecta; Lepidoptera; Bombycidae
Description: mir-2807 microRNA precursor family
Rfam family: mir-2807 microRNA precursor family
Source: Rfam by way of RNAcentral